This 253-nucleotide ribosomal RNA is filed under the name uncultured bacterium. RNAcentral's name for it is "partial 16S ribosomal RNA". It matches the Rfam family "Bacterial small subunit ribosomal RNA", at positions 524 to 776 of the family's 1533-position model. The record is from RNAcentral.
UACGAAGGGGGCUAGCGUUGUUCGGAAUCACUGGGCGUAAAGCGCACGUAGGCGGAUCUUUAAGUCAGGGGUGAAAUCCCGAGGCUCAACCUUGGAACUGCCUUUGAUACUGGGGAUCUCGAGUCCGGGAGAGGUGAGUGGAACUGCGAGUGUAGAGGUGAAAUUCGUAGAUAUUCGCAAGAACACCAGUGGCGAAGGCGGCUCACUGGCCCGGAACUGACGCUGAGGUGCGAAAGCGUGGGGAGCAAACAGG